Non-coding RNA from Xyrichtys novacula (pearly razorfish), 370 nucleotides. Lineage: Eukaryota; Metazoa; Chordata; Actinopteri; Labriformes; Labridae. The record is from the annotation of a GenBank genome assembly.
CAAAAUGAUUAAUAUGGUGAUUAUUACUUCAAGGAAAUAAUAAAGAAAUGAUCAUAAAUGUUCUUCCUUGAGCUGCGUCACCCCGCUGUAGUCUGUAAUGGACUGGCCUGAGGUCUCUCUACAAACAAGCGGCUGCUGGAAGAGAGUAGGUGAAUUGUGUUUAGUCUCUUUGCUAAAGAAAUUAGUUAAAGUUAAAAAGAUGUUUGGUGUCUAGUACUAUGUCUGUGACCCUAUAUGUCCAGUUGAUGAAGUUAGGUGCUGUUCUGAGCAUUAUUUGUGGCUAUAGAGUGCCGUUUUGGUUGAGGUUUGUUUAUGGCUCCUCAGACCGCUGUGUAUUGCUAUCAUGCGGUCGUUACUAAAGUUGGUAUAA